UUUAUUUUUCAAGAGUUUUUAAUUGUAUAUAUUAAUCAAAAUUUCAUAAUCAAAAUCAAACUUAAAUUAACUAAUUUAUUCAUGAAUGACCAAAAUUUAUAUAAAAUUAUUUAAUUUUUCUUUCCCUCCUCCUACGUCUCCAGACAGUUACAAACAUGGGCAACGGUGGAAAAGGCAGAGCACGCACAAAGAAUAGCUUUUGACUGGGUUUGACUCUUCCAUCUCUUUACUGUACAUGACAUUGACCGAUCUGUCUUCAGAUGGCAAGGCAAAACCCAACAGCCUGGAGCGACCAAGCCCGCUUCAUACUGAAUGGUCAACCGCAAAUAGGGCACCUCUUCUUCUCGUUCCAUGCCUUUCUCAAUCCUCUCUGGCUCUCACUCGUGGUUGGUUGGUUGGACUUUCUUGUUUCUGCUAACGAAAUGGCAAGAAAUCUUGAGGAUUCCUAACACAUAGCAUGGUGCACCAAAAAAGUGCACACGGUGGAGUUCGGAGAUGCCAAAAUGCAGGUCACCGAACAUCAAUCAGGAAUGGCUGCCAAAUAAAAAGUGUUCAAUCAUGGAGAGGGUGGGUUACUUUCCUGACAGAAAACACAUCAGUAACUGACGUGGAAUCUCAUUGGAGUGCAAUCUGUGGUAGGAAGUCAUUUCUCCCACAUCAACUCUAUGCCAUUGACUGGGUGAUAUCUAUUUCAUACUUGGUAAUUGUUAUACUUAUUUACAAGCAUUUUAUCAUAGAUAACACCAAACAAUGGAGAUGUCGCAGAUGGUCUCUAUGAUAUUUGAUUAAUUUUAUGCAAGCGACUCGAGAAUCUUCAUCUUCAACCAUGCCUGCCUUGAAGGUUACUGAUUAGAGCCUGUGAAUGACAUCUUCUCCUACACUUGGUAAUUCUCUUGGUUAAUAUGCCUAACUUAGUUUUCAUACUGAAUACUAAGUCUCCUAUUUCACAUAUCCUGAAUAUUUUCCCUUUUCUUAUUUUUUUUUUUUUAUCUUUCCUCAUGCUACAUGAAGAAAAAAGAAUUUACUACAUUUGAAGGUAAGGUAAGGCCAUGCAUGCAUAGUCUAUCUUAGGACAACUACCUAGUCUUAUGGGACUGCGCUACAAAUCUACGUUUGCUUUUUCUCAGGGCCAAUCCAGUUGUCCUGGCCAUUCCCAUGCAGGUGGUUCUAGACCAUCUACUGAGCCCCAGUUGGCACUUGCUGCAGUCCCUGGGUGAUCAACAUGGUCUUCCACUGAGUAUGACGUUUCAGGUGAGCUUGUCAUAUCCACAGUUGGAUCAGGGCCCUGAGCAGAUGUUGUAGCUCCAUCUCCAAGAAGCUGCGUCUCUCUUGUCACAGCUUCUAGUGGCCGCCUAUCAAAUGCACGAAAGCUUCCUGAUACCACAUAGACUCGACACAAGCUGAAUUCAUGCCUCAACUACAUUCAGGAAUCGGAGGACAUCCAAAUGGUGGUUAGUAAUUAAUGGAAAACGGUUGCAUGUUGCAUGACAGGUACAUCUUUUUAAUUCAAAAAACUAAAAGAUCAUAUACAUGCAUGCACACCUUUGGAGUAGCAUUACUAGAAGAUUCAUGAACUUCAAUGGCUCUGUAUUCAUUCAUCUUCCAUUUGGUUUUUCUUCCUCUUGGAGCUUUUCCCGUAUAGAACACCAUGGUUUUCUUCAAUCCAAUCACACGAUUGUCCGACGAGUAAACAUAACCAGGAGAGCCUGUGGCCUUCCAGUACCCGGAUGCUGUAGUCCGGUUAGGUCUCCCUCCCCUCGCUUCUCUCUCUUGCCUGGGUGUAAAGAAGAACCACUGCUCGGUGUCUCCCUGACAUAGUUCUCCUGAAAGCUCUGCAACAUAGUGCAAGAGACAAACUAAUUAAAGUCACCACUCAACUUCUACCGCGAGCAUUUUAGCAUUCUUCUACCUAGUUUAUCAUUAGUAAAACAAAAUAGAACAAAUUUAAGUGCGGUUUUUUACUUGGAAGAUCCCAUGGUUCGAUGUCGUAAAUGCUGAUGUCUGGAAUAACACGUUGUAGACGUUCUUGCCUCCCCCCUCCCAGCUUAUUAUGCAGGUAGAAGGAGAUCAGCUCUUCUUCUGUUGGGUAGAAGCGGUAACCUAGAGGGAGUUCCUCCAUUCUUGUUCUUGUUCUUGUUCUUGUGUCUUGUUCCCUUGUCAGCCUGAGCUGUAUAAGCAUGCAUCAUGUACUUAUAUAAUGACCUUGUUGAAGGGGAAAGAGGGAAGACGAUGGAUUUGCCGAGUGAAAUGCGAGAGAAAAAAUGCAGACUGUGGAAACUUCUACGCGGUUGCAAGGAGAAGAUUAUUUUUGUCCUUGUACAGCUGUAUAAAAUAACGUUUCGUGUCCAACAACAUUUCUUUUGAACAAGUCAGCAUGCACUUCUCUCUCCGUCCUUUGUUAUGUGCACCCGGACCCAAAUGGCCUAUUAAUGCCCGUGGCGUGGUUUCUCCGUGCUUUUUAAUUUUAUUAAUUUUAAAUUAAUUUUUUUAGUGUU
Populus trichocarpa (black cottonwood) is the source of this 2495-nucleotide long non-coding RNA. RefSeq lists it as uncharacterized. The record is from RefSeq and is a predicted model, not a curated record. The transcript is spliced from 3 exons. NCBI's taxonomy places the organism in Eukaryota, Viridiplantae, Streptophyta, Magnoliopsida, Malpighiales, Salicaceae.